GGGGGUGUUCCGGAAUUCGACUUUAGACCGUAGAUUAUGCCGGCAUGCCGGAGACGACACUUGGCUCCGUAAAAAUGUGUCAUCAAAAAUAUAAAUGGCGAAGAAUACGCUAUUGCUGCUUAAUUAACGCGGCACGUCAGCCCGCAGACACCCGAUAAGCGGAAUCUGGCGUCGACAUCGGGAAAGGAUGCUCAAUUAAAUUCCGGGGGUUGUGCAUUCUAAUUACUCGGAGUUGCCGACGCAGAGGAAGUCCGCACCCAACCGCGUCGAAAGCCCAAUGCGAGACUAAGCAUGUAGAAAGUAUAACCGAAAGCCUCUAGGACGCGGGUUCAACUCCCGCCACCUCCACCA
This 351-nucleotide transfer-messenger RNA is filed under the name Opitutales. RNAcentral describes it as "Merdousia sp000438015 Standard tmRNA". It matches the Rfam family "transfer-messenger RNA". Rfam says of the family: Bacterial tmRNA, also known as 10Sa RNA or SsrA, is named for its dual tRNA and mRNA-like properties. Its role is to liberate the mRNA from a stalled ribosome. The record is from RNAcentral. RNAcentral also lists the same sequence under 3 other names. Lineage: Bacteria; Pseudomonadati; Verrucomicrobiota; Opitutia.